AACCCAAAAGAUCGAAUGGGGAGAUUCAUCGUCAGCGUUGCUGGUACGUGUGCGGCUCGCGAUGACGGAGACCUCGGUCUCUCGUUACGCGUCCGCAUGUUUUUAUUGCCUAGCUUCGUCGGCGUGCACUUCUCCUCUGGUAGGACGUCGCGACCCGUUGGGUGUCGGUUUACGGUCCGGGUGUACGCCUGUCUCGUGUGGCRCCUCGCGGCGCCACYGYGGGACAGACUCCCGGUCGCCCGACCGACUGCCCGGCGGUACUCGUAUGGUAUCUGGCCGAAGACAUUCGAACUGCGUCCGGCCCGUCGCAAGCGAGGCGAGUGUUUCCCGAAUGUACGGAUCUGACGCCGUCGUUGGGCCUUGCCAGCUGUUGGCUGACGGAGUCCUAGGACUGGCUGUAGCUAAUUAURAUACCGRUCGGCGACGCUACUGCUUUGGGUACUUUCAGGACCCGUCUUGAAACACGGACCAAGGAGUCUAACAUGUGCGCGAGUCAUUGGGAUCUGUAAAGCCUAAAGGCGUAAUGAAAGUGAAGGUCGGCCUCACGCCGACC
This 553-nucleotide ribosomal RNA is filed under the name Xanthopimpla sp. BF000592. RNAcentral's name for it is "eukaryotic LSU rRNA". The record is from RNAcentral. Lineage: Eukaryota; Metazoa; Arthropoda; Insecta; Hymenoptera; Ichneumonidae.